This 318-nucleotide ribosomal RNA is filed under the name Triticum aestivum (bread wheat). RNAcentral's name for it is "partial small subunit ribosomal RNA". The record is from RNAcentral. Lineage: Eukaryota; Viridiplantae; Streptophyta; Magnoliopsida; Poales; Poaceae.
AGUUGCCCUUCGGUUCAUUCCCUUCUAUUUGCAGAUGACCUUUUGGUUUGUGGUCAGGCCACCCUUCAUGAAGCUCAGACUAUGGCGAAUCUUAUUCAGCAAUUUUGUGAUCUCUCUGGCCAAACUCCCAACUGGAGCAAAUCUGCAAUCUUGUUUAGCUCGCAUGUAUCUCAGGCUACUAUUCAAGACAUUAAGCAUAUUUUCCCUGUUUCUAAUCUUGAUGCUAAUUUCACUCAUCUUGGUCAUCCUCUCAUUCUCCCUGCUAAUAAUAGAUUGGCUGCUUACAAUUUUGUUCUUGACAAGUUUUUAAAUAAGCUG